Lagopus muta (rock ptarmigan) is the source of this 2230-nucleotide long non-coding RNA. RefSeq lists it as uncharacterized. Lineage: Eukaryota; Metazoa; Chordata; Aves; Galliformes; Phasianidae. The record is from RefSeq and is a predicted model, not a curated record. The transcript is spliced from 2 exons.
UCCGGCACGGGGUGGCGGCGCCGGGCGGCUCCGCAUCUCCUGUCCGCGGUCCUCCGGUACCCAGCUCCACUCUGCUCUUUUAAAUGGCCCGGAGGCGUAACUUCGGCUGGCGCCCGGGCCACGCUGUUGUGCUUCUCUGCGCGUAAUUGCGCCCAAAUGGGUGAAACGAGCGCGACGUGCGCUGAGGGCCAUAGCCUCGCGUUGGUCGGCAGCUGCUGAGAUGUCCGAGUUGCCGUCCGGGAUGCGUCCUCCGGCUGCAGAGUGCCGGUGGGAAACGCGAGGAGUUGGAAGUGGCUCCAAAGACAGCAGUGGAGCUAUUCAGGAUGAAACAGGUGCAGAGCAUCGGUGGCAGUAGUGAUCUGGUGUGAUCCAUAUCGGAACUUUGGAUUUCUAGAAGCUAAUUUGGCUGCAUGCCUCUCACAGAAAGCAACGUAAAGAAACCUUUUCUAAUUAAAUAGCUCAGAUGACACCUGACGUGCUGUGAUUUCAGCAGCCCUUACUGGCCAUUCGUUGAGGCGGCUGCUAGGAGCCCAGCCUGGGGGAUUUGUGUCAUGUUUGUGGCCCAGAGGCAAAGAGGAAACUGGAGAAAUUAAAGGAAGUUAAGGUAGAGAAACCAUGUUGCAUGAAAGAGACAUCUCAUUUUAUCCAUUGUGUUCUAACAGUUAAUUAAGAUUGAUAAUUUACCUCCCAUGGUCCAUCUCUGCCAGGAGUUCUCCUCUUCAUCACCAGCUGGAACAGGAACUCAGGCUUCUUGUUCCCAGUCUGGAAGCCUGUGAAGCAACAGCACAGUUGUAUUUGAUUUGUGGCCAAACAGUGUCCAGCAUCUCAUACACAACACUCAGUUACUGCUGUACGCAAAAUACAUGCUGAUAGUCUGCAUUUCCUGGUUGGUGGCUGAGGUCAUUCAUAGAUCUAACACACAGAAGUCAAUCUGUCCUAUUUACAAGACUGGCUGCAGUGGGUUCUUUUGUUCUUUAGUCACACAGGUGUGCACAUACACACCUUCCCAAUCAGUGGGAGGACAAAAGAAGUCAUUCAGAAGCAUGUAAAAAGCAUUGCGCUGAACUUCACCUGGUGCUUGAACCUUCUGCACAUCUCCCAGAUACUUUCCCUUGUUUUGCAGAGGGUUGAGGUGCAGAAUCAGACCAAGAGUUUGUCUUGAGCAACAUGCUGCAAGCAAUUGUGCCUGGUGUGCGAGACCCAGGAGCAUUUUGUUGUUCACCACACUGCAGCUGGAGGGGCUGAGGAUCAGCUGUGCAGGAUGAGGUGGGCAGAUACUAAAGGAGUCCCUCAUCUGAAGCCUGGAAUACUUGCACUACUCAGAACUGAGAACACACAUCGUUGUGACCAGCGUUGUCUAUGCUGAAUGAUAUGAUUUCAUCUAGUAAUAACCUGAGUGUGCUGGUGGCAGCUUAGGACAGCAUCAGACCAUCCUGACUUACUGCUGUUCACAGUCAAGAAUGUCAGUAACCACAGACCUCCCCUGCCCCAUUACCUGCAUCAGAGUGACAGCCUGCCCGACAAAGAGCUCUCUCAAAUGUGGGAAAACUGCUUUGUUGUUUUAUCAUUAAAACUUUGCUAAGUUAAAAAGCAUAUAUGGAAAAAUAGAUACCCUCAGGGAAGAGAAAGAACAGGUAUACGUAGGAUACAUGCCCUGGGAAGUCUCCAGUCUGUCUUCGGAAACUCUCCAAGCUGUGGAAACCAAGUGUCUUCAGCUGUUUGUACUGACACACACCCUUCAGGCCACUGUUCUUCUCCCAACACUGUAAUGUCCUACAAUCUUUUUUUUUUUUCUUUCAAAUUGACAUUUUAAAAACUAAAGUCCCUCGCUAUUCCUGUAAUUGCUUUCCAAGAUAUCCCCUGUCCGUUAGGCUGACUUUUUCCAUCCUGUCUUUCAACUUGGCAAAUCUAAUUCCCUCAAUCCCCUCAUGCCUUUUAGAUAUGCUAAUGUAAUAUGUUUUCCAAACAGAUAUUUAAAUUAAACCUUUUAAUUAAGUUAGUUGAACCAGUGUACCAGCGGCCAUGUCCCUGCCAGCUGGUAUGUCAGUACCUGCAAUAUUAUUUACCUUCUUAAUAAAAUGCUGUUGCCUGAACUUACACUGCUGUGAAUUUCAAACUGUACAUAGUGUUGUACGUUACAUCUGAAACUAAAACUCAUUUCCUUCUGCUUCUACUGAGUGAAAAACAACACAAGCUCAAAACCCUGUGGAGUACAAGCAGGUUCACUACU